Long non-coding RNA from Lactuca sativa (garden lettuce), 874 nucleotides. RefSeq lists it as uncharacterized. The record is from RefSeq and is a predicted model, not a curated record. NCBI's taxonomy places the organism in Eukaryota, Viridiplantae, Streptophyta, Magnoliopsida, Asterales, Asteraceae.
UGAGAUUCUUAACAAAUAUUAUGGCGAGACUGAAUCCGCAAUUCGGAAAAUAUUUAAACGUGCAAGGGAAUGUUCUCCAUGCAUACUGUUCUUCGAUGAGAUAGAUGCUCUCACAAUAAAGCGUGGAAUCGUAGGGGGAUCUCAGCAUCUUGAGCGAGUUCUGACUCAGCUUUUGGUAGAGCUAGAUGGUGCUGAGAAACGAAAGGGUGUUUACGUAAUUGGUGCCACCAACAGGCCUGAGAUGAUGGAUUAAGCACUCUUAAGACCCGGAAGAUUUGGGAAACUUUUGUAUGUUCCAUUGCCAAAUCAAGAUGAACGUGGGUUGAUCUUGAAAGCUCUUGCUAGAAAGAAGCCAAUAGAUGAUGAUGUUGACUUGAUUGCUAUUGGUCGGAGUGAGGCUUGUGCAAAUUUAAGUGGAGCCGAUCUUUCUGCAUUGAUGAACGAAGCUGCUAUUGUUGCUGUUGAGGAGAGAUUUAUUGAAAUUGAAGCUGCUAAACGUAAUGAACCAGAACCAGAAAGCUCUUCAGAUAGCUUGCCACAUACUAUUAAAACUAGACAUUUUGAGCAAGUAUUGGGAAAAAUCUCCCCUUCUGUCUCAGAUGAGCAAAAAGAGCAUUACCAUCAACUGUCAAAGAGGCUUAGAGCAUCGUGAAUAUAUUUAUCAGAUUCAGAGUUAUUGCCAACAAAGAGUGGCAUCCAGUUUUGUUCGUUAGGAAUUCAGAUAUAGAAUUUUAGCGAUUAGUUUUGAUGAUUGAUAUUAAGUCUAGGUGUCGUGUUGGGUGAUUAAAUUAGUAAAUUUUGUGUAGAACAGCUUAAAUGGUGUUGCAGUAAUUAACUUCAUCUCUUGGUAUAUAAAAUAUUCGGGUGUUUUUGC